CAUAGCCUUUAGCCCAACAAGUAUUAAAGGUCCUGCCUGCCCAGUGAAUAUAUUAAACGGCCGCGGUAUCCUAACCGUGCAAAGGUAGCGUAAUCACUUGUCCCCUAAAUAGGGACCAGUAUGAACGGCUAAAUGAGGGCCCGCCUGUCUCCUUUGGUCCCCCAAUGAAACUGAUCUCCUAGUCCAAAAGCUAGAAUAAACACACAAGACGAGAAGACCCUGUGGAGCUUAAAACACACCAGCCGCCCGUAACCCGCGCAGUGGCACUUGUUUUUAGUUGGGGCAACUACGGAAUAAACAAAACUUCCACGAACCGGACUAACCAUCGUCACAGGCAUACAUGCCAAAAACUGACCCAGUACCACUGACUAACGAACCAAGUUACCCCAGGGAUAACAGCGCCAUCCCCUUAAAGAGUCCAUAUCGCCAAGGGGGCUUACGACCUCGAUGUUGGAUCAGGACCCCCCGGCGGCGCAGCCGCUGCCAACGGUUCGUUUGUUCAACGAUUAAAGUCCUACGUGAUCUGAGU
This 529-nucleotide ribosomal RNA is filed under the name Cnemaspis monticola. RNAcentral describes it as "partial large subunit ribosomal RNA". It matches the Rfam family "Bacterial large subunit ribosomal RNA", at positions 1814 to 2610 of the family's 2925-position model. The record is from RNAcentral. Lineage: Eukaryota; Metazoa; Chordata; Lepidosauria; Squamata; Gekkonidae.